CUGACUGUUCUCCUAGCUAAUUCACUUUUUUAUCACACCCAUGGCUGUGAGGGCAAGGCUGUUUCCACUCUUUGAUAAUUAACACAGCUGCAAUGUAUGGGAGGUAAGAUUGCCUUUAGCACUAUCUCUGUCUUCCCACACAUCUUUAUUCAGGUACAACCAAAUAUAUAAAAAGAAGGACAGAGAGGAUGCAGAUAAAAGAUUUCUGUCAGCAUUCCUCUGAUGGAUUUCUAAGAUACAGGACUAGCACCAUAUGUUACUGCUAAUGAAGAGAACUAAUGGGGAAGGCAGAUAGCUCAUCCUAAGAGGAUAGAUUAAAAAGUUGCAUAGUUUCUUGAAGUAAGAAACUUCUUUGACACUGUUGAGCUAUUUUAACUUUGGUUGGACAUUAUAGGGCUUCAAAGAAGAUGAGAGGUAUUAACAUCUCAUUUGAAAAUGGGAUGAGUUGUAGUUUUGCAAUCCCAGGACUACCUUUAGCUUUAGAGAUAACCUCAUCUCUAAUGACACUGUUUCAAAAAUAUGCUCGGCCUAAUUUCACUUCAGGCUGUUUGUUAAUAAGACAAGUUUUCUACAGCAGGAGAGGUUUAAAGGUUAUGAAAGAGGAAUCAAAAUUAUGAAUUCAUAGGGAAAAAUGUAAAGAAUGGAGAAUCCUUGGAACCAGGGUUAACUUCACUGAUCCCAGAUAUUUAAUAUGUGAAAACAAUUCUCAAAAAGGAAAAAUGAUCUUUUAAAAGCUCAGAAGAAACAACUGACACAGCUGGAUGUUAAAAUUAUGUCUCCAAAUUCUUGUCCUAUGUUUGGCAUGAAUGAAAAGCUAUUUCAGGUACCCUGUGGCUCCCUCUCUGCUGGUUUCUGCUAGUAGCAUGGCAUGUUAAAAGACAUUUCACUAUGGAAAGAAGAAACAGACUUCUUGGUAUCCACAGGAAAUUGUCAAGGACACUGAGACAUUCACAGGACAAGCACUGCAACAAAAUGGACAAAUUUCAUUGUUUAAGUAUAGGUAUUGCUAGGCAAUGGACAAGCAUAGGAACAAGUGAUUACAAAAUUCCAGCUGCUACUGUAAGAUUUAGUAUUUGGUGUCAGAUCUAGCCUCAGAUCAAGCUUUGUGGUUAAUGAAUGUUUUGCCAUUAAGUAAGGUAUGACCAUACAUGAAAAAAAGAGCUCAUUAUGGUGAAGGUAUCAGCCAUGACAACAUUAAUCAUUCUAAACACAUUCACAGGUGAAAUAGGUUGAAUUAUAAGGUUCCUGGAAAGUGGAAAGGAACAUUUUACUUAUAUCUUGCCAUCUCUUUUUUCACUCCUGAGCAGUACAUUUUCUGAAGUCAAGAAUAUCCUGUCUAACAUCAAGAACAUAGGACUGGACUAAAUGCAUAAUGAUACAAUAGGACUGACAGGGUAUUGAUGGAUUCAGCAGUGUUUCCCUGUGUCUUGAUGUUUCCAUGUUAAAGACUAACACUUCAUUUUGUCAUUGCAUCCUUUAUAACGCUUGCAAAAAUUAUAUGUUAAACACAGGCUGAAGACUUCAACAAUGAAAGAGAUAGAAAGUGUGACUUCAUAAUUCAGUACAAUUUCAGUAUGCAUUGCAUUUUCUUUUUCAAAAUAGAGAGAACACCCUGAAGACUUGACUAACUUUCCCUCCACCAUUUUCUCAUCACUGUAUAUUAUGCCAUUAGAGUUAAGGAUCUCAUUUACCCAUGAGCCUGAUGUUGUAUCUUGUAAAAACUUAUACACUUCCAAAGACCAUAUUUGCAAAAAUUAUACUUAUGUUGAAGAUACUUAUAAGAUACUUAGAACUGUGAUGACAUUUCCCCAAAUGAGGCUUUUAUGAAAGAACUAAUUCUUAUGUGGGUUUUUUAUUGUUUUUUCUUAAAACUACUUGCUUUCUUCACUGAAGACAUUGUAAGUGGUAGUUUAAAAGAAUCUUGAUAUCAAAUCUGAUGUUUGAACUGAUUGGUGAGCUGCACGGGCUCAACAAAGCCUUGUAAUAUACUUUGCUUUGCAGUUAUCUCAUAGGAUGUUUGAUUUCAAAAGCAAAUAAUGAGCCUCAAUUUCUUUUACAGAUCUUCUGGUAAGCAAACAUUUUUUGAUUUCUAUU
Molecule: long non-coding RNA, 2094 nt
Organism: Hirundo rustica (Barn swallow)
Lineage: Eukaryota; Metazoa; Chordata; Aves; Passeriformes; Hirundinidae
Exons: 3
Source: RefSeq, a predicted model, not a curated record